RNAcentral lists this ribosomal RNA (881 nucleotides) under uncultured bacterium. RNAcentral's name for it is "bacterial SSU rRNA". It matches the Rfam family "Bacterial small subunit ribosomal RNA", at positions 22 to 876 of the family's 1533-position model. The record is from RNAcentral.
GCUCAGAACGAACGCGGGCGGCGUGCCUAACACAUGCAAGUCGUGCGGGAAAGUGGGGGCAACCCUGCGAGUACAGCGGCGCACGGGUGAGUAACGCGUAGGUAACCUACCUUCGAGCUUGGGAUAACCUGUCGAAAGAUGGGCUAAUACCGAAUAAGACCACGAGGGCUGCGGCUCUUGGGGUAAAAAGUGGCCUCUGCUUGCAAGCUACUACUCAAAGAUGGGCCUGCGCGCCAUUAGCUAGUUGGCGGGGUAACGGCCCACCAAGGCAGAGAUGGCUAGCUGGUCUGAGAGGAUGGCCAGCCACACUGGGACUGAGACACGGCCCAGACUCCUACGGGAGGCAGCAGUGGGGAAUAUUGCGCAAUGGGCGAAAGCCUGACGCAGCGACGCCGCGUGGGUGAUGAAGGCCUUCGGGUCGUAAAGCCCUGUCAGGAGGGACGAAACCUCGACGAUCUAAUACAUCGUCGAACUGACGGUACCUCCGAAGGAAGCACCGGCUAACUCCGUGCCAGCAGCCGCGGUAAUACGGAGGGUGCGAGCGUUGUUCGGAAUUACUGGGCGUAAAGCGCGUGUAGGUGGCCUACUAAGUCUGGUGUGAAAGCCCGGGGCUCAACCCCGGAAGUGCACUGGAGACUGGAAGGCUCGAGUACCGGAGAGGAGGGUGGAAUUCCUGGUGUAGCGGUGAAAUGCGUAGAUAUCAGGAGGAACACCGGUGGCGAAGGCGGCCCUCUGGACGGAUACUGACACUGAGACGCGAAAGCGUGGGGAGCAAACAGGAUUAGAUACCCUGGUAGUCCACGCUGUAAACGAUGGGCACUAGGUGUUCGGGGUAUUGACCCCCUGAGUGCCGCAGCUAACGCAUUAAGUGCCCCGCCUGG